AACGUAGGAGAGGCGGGGUUUAAUGGCACAGGGUGAUUCCAGCUCUUUACAGUGCAAAACACAUCAACUAAAAUCACAUCAAUUAUUGUGAACUAAUAAAAACACAAUUAGAAAAGAGGAGCGCAGAUAAAACACAUGCAGAGAUAAAAAGGAUCAUUUUUAUAAAAGCUUGAUUGGAAUCACCAACAGAUCCAGGUUUACAGUGUAGGAUAAAGACAGGAAGGGGAGGGACUAAUGUGAAAAUACACUGUUAUAAAGGUUUUUACAGAACAUUUGAAUAACCUGGUUGGAUCUAUAAACUUAAAGCAAACCUGCAACAGAGUUGGAGUUAAAGUUCUGCAGAAAAUCAUUCUGAAUCCCCGAAACCGCUUUGUAAAAGUUGGAGUUAAUUGAAAUGAAUGCAUCCAAGUGAUGCUCUAAAUCCUCAUUCUGUGCUGCUGUCAUUAUCUUGUUGUUUUAUGCGUGAUGACCCACGGUCACCGACUCCCACAGCUGCCAUUACACCGCGGUUACUUAUAGCUACCAGAACGGUAAAGAAGUAUUUCUUCCUCUGAGGGGUUCACCCAGCCUGUGUCAGCAUCGAUUACGAUUUAUUUCAGGAAGGAAAAUUUCUUAUCUUGACAUUCUCAAAUGCCGAGCUUCGACUUGGGCUCGGACUCCGUAUCGGGUAACUGAUUAUAGCGAAGAAACAUUUGUUUCUGCCCGUCGCCAUCUUCAAAGCAGAUUAAGUGCACCUUUGUUCACACAGUGUUUCACUUUAACAGCUUGGGGAUGAGGAUGCAGUUCUAAUGGCAGCCGGGCCCGCCGCGAGGAGCUCUCCCAACAUCAAUACGGGCCCAAUCUGGGCGUGAGAAAGAGGAGCCAGCUCUCCCGAUUCCCCCGCCAUCAGUUCAUUGAAGUCUGUUGUGAGCAGAGGCAGAAAGGAGAACAUGAAUGCAGCAAAAGUAUCAGACGCCAGGAUCCAUAAACAGCCGUCUGGAUCUAUGAACCCUCUUCACUGGAUGAAGUGUUGAGUCGGUGUGGAGCUGCAUGGUGAUGUGGUCCAGAAGACAAACCGCUCAAAGACUACAGUCACCUUCUGAAUGGUCAAACGUUUUGACACACGUGUGUUCUGAUGCUUUUUUGAUAUAAUUCCUCUUGUUUUUUUCAGGUAAUGACUGAUUGUACCACAUUCUGACAGAGACGUAAAACUUUUUUUUGUUUGAGAGUUUUACAAAUAGAGAUAUUUAAAAAAAAAAAAGAAUGACUCUCUUUUUGUGUGUUAGAAUAUGUAAUUAAAGUGACUAAAGAACAUUCAGCGUCCGACUGAGGCUAUUCCUCAGUGGUUAAUGAAAUUAAAGCAUUGAGAAAUGAAAGCCUUUAGAAAUUCUUUAAUAGAGUUGUGAAUAAGCUUCCUUGAAUGACCUGUUCUCAAAAAAAA
Oryzias melastigma (Indian medaka) is the source of this 1420-nucleotide long non-coding RNA. RefSeq lists it as uncharacterized. NCBI's taxonomy places the organism in Eukaryota, Metazoa, Chordata, Actinopteri, Beloniformes, Adrianichthyidae. The transcript is spliced from 2 exons. The record is from RefSeq and is a predicted model, not a curated record.